RNAcentral lists this ribosomal RNA (502 nucleotides) under uncultured bacterium. RNAcentral describes it as "partial 16S ribosomal RNA". It matches the Rfam family "Bacterial small subunit ribosomal RNA", at positions 30 to 523 of the family's 1533-position model. The record is from RNAcentral.
AUUGAACGCUGGCGGCAUGCUUUACACAUGCAAGUCGAACGGCAGCACGGGUGCUUGCACCUGGUGGCGAGUGGAGAACGGGUGAGUAAUGCACCGGAACGUACCCAGUAAUGGGGGAUAACACAUCGAAAGAUGUGCUAAUACCGCAUAAGCCCUGAGGGGGAAAGCGGGGGAUCGUAAGACCUCGCGUUAUUGGAGCGGCCGAUGCCGGAUUAGCUAGUUGGUGAGGUAAAGGCUCACCAAGGCGACGAUCCGUAGCUGGUCUGAGAGGACGACCAGCCACACUGGGACUGAGACACGGCCCAGACUCCUACGGGAGGCAGCAGUGGGGAAUUUUGGACAAUGGGCGCAAGCCUGAUCCAGCCAUGCCGCGUGAGUGAAGAAGGCCUUCGGGUUGUAAAGCUCUUUCGCAAGGAAAGAAAACUUACCUUCUAAUAAAGGGUGAGGUUGACGGUACCUUGAUAAGAAGCACCGGCUAACUACGUGCCAGCCGCCGCGGUAA